RNAcentral lists this ribosomal RNA (439 nucleotides) under uncultured bacterium. RNAcentral's name for it is "partial 16S ribosomal RNA". It matches the Rfam family "Bacterial small subunit ribosomal RNA", at positions 338 to 795 of the family's 1533-position model. The record is from RNAcentral.
CCUACGGGAGGCAGCAGUGGGGAAUAUUGCACAAUGGGCGAAAGCCUGAUGCAGCAACGCCGCGUGAGCGAUGAAGGCCUUCGGGUCGUAAAGCUCUGUCCUCAAGGAAGAUAAUGACGGUACUUGAGGAUUCCUCCCCGGCUAACUACGUGCCAGCAGCCGCGGUAAUACGUAGGGGGCUAGCGUUAUCCGGAAUUACUGGGCGUAAAGGGUGCGUAGUUGGUUUCUUAAGUCAGAGGUGAAAGGCUACGGCUCAACCGUAGUAAGCCUUUGAAACUGGGAAACUUGAGUGCAGGAGAGGAGAGUGGAAUUCCUAGGGUAGCGGUGAAAUGCGUAGAUAUUAGGAGGAACACCAGUUGCGAAGGCGGCUCGCUGGACUGUAACUGACACUGAGGCACGAAAGCGUGGGGAGCAAACAGGAUUAGAGACCCCGGUAGUC